UACCUUACGAGGACAUUGGAGGGCAAGUCUGGUGCCAGCAGCCGCGGUAAUUCCAGCUCCAAUAGCGUAUAUUAAAGUUGUUGCAGUUAAAAAGCUCGUAGUUGGAUUUUGGAACUCGCUUGUUGGGCCGCCGCAAGGUGUUGCUCCGACCAGGUGUGUUCUUUCCUCCCGAAAUCGGCGUGUGCGCUUAAUUGAGUGUGCGUCGAGUUUGGGACUUUUACUGUGAAAAAAUUAGAGUGUUCAAAGCAGGCUAUCGCUUGAAUAUUUCAGCAUGGAAUAAUGGAAUAGGACGUUGGUUCUAUUUUGUUGGUUUCUAGGACCAAAGUAAUGAUUAAUAGGGAUAGUUGGGGGCAUUAGUAUUUAAUUGUCAGAGGUGAAAUUCUUGGAUUUAUGAAAGACUAACUUCUGCGAAAGCAUUUGCCAAGGAUGUUUUCAUUAAUCAAGAACGAAAGUUAGGGGAUCGAAGAUGAUCAGAUACCGUCGUAGUCCUAACCAUAAACUAUGCCGACUAGGGAUUGGU
This 520-nucleotide ribosomal RNA is filed under the name uncultured eukaryote. RNAcentral describes it as "SSU rRNA". It matches the Rfam family "Eukaryotic small subunit ribosomal RNA", at positions 531 to 1057 of the family's 1831-position model. The record is from RNAcentral.